Molecule: long non-coding RNA, 348 nt
Filed under: Malus domestica (apple)
Lineage: Eukaryota; Viridiplantae; Streptophyta; Magnoliopsida; Rosales; Rosaceae
Description: long non-coding RNA (MDOM_LNC009462)
Source: RNAcentral
GAAUUCAAGAGGCAUGAGCAAGAGGGGUUUGAAAGUUAGUGAAGCGUAGAGUUUGAACGGAGAAGAGAUGGGUAUUUAUAGGGGUUUUGGGCUGAAAACCCAAUGAUUUAAAGUUUCAAAUAAAGGAUAAGACUAGUUGGACAGUUUAAAAAUCAUUAUGGAGAUUCAGGAAAUCCAAAUGAAGAGGCUAAGAAAUUCGCAGAUCGAGGCUACAUGAUGACAUGUAAGGGCGGAUUCAAUGAUGAAGAGACGUUUGUGUAGACAUCGAAAUUUCGAUAAAUAAAUGUUGACCGAUAAAUCAAAGUGUCAACGCUCAUGUAUUACAUAAAUUUUACACGUAGCGUGUGA